UCCUGACGAAUGCCGUGUAUCUUUGCUCACACACAGACACCGCUGCUCGCAGCACGUCUCCCUCUGGCAAAUGAGAAAUUCGGAGUAAUCUUCAAACUGCACGUCACCCGCGGCUUCGGUCGAUGGCUCUGACAACUGCCCGUGAGGGCCUGCCAUGACACUCAUGGUUGCACUCGGCAUCAGAAAUCUCAGCCCGGAUUGGCAGAGGCGGACAACUCAGCAAUGGGCGGUCCAAGUCUGGUUGGUCUGUGGCUAUGGGAGCCGGUGCGAAGAUUGUGUGUACUACGGUACGAUCACUUUAGUGCAAUACGCGGCGUAUCUGAGCUUUCUGCGCACCUGUCGUAAAGAUAUGGUGGGUGGGGGCGCAGGGUAUCAUUCGAUUCCGAUCAUUCUUGUCAGGA
Molecule: RNase P RNA, 401 nt
Filed under: Zymoseptoria tritici IPO323
Lineage: Eukaryota; Fungi; Ascomycota; Dothideomycetes; Mycosphaerellales; Mycosphaerellaceae
Description: Zymoseptoria tritici nuclear RNase P
Rfam family: Nuclear RNase P
About the family: Ribonuclease P (RNase P) is a ubiquitous endoribonuclease, found in archaea, bacteria and eukarya as well as chloroplasts and mitochondria. Its best characterised activity is the generation of mature 5'-ends of tRNAs by cleaving the 5'-leader elements of precursor-tRNAs.
Source: RNAcentral